RNAcentral lists this long non-coding RNA (749 nucleotides) under Haliotis rufescens (red abalone). RNAcentral's name for it is "uncharacterized LOC124127169, transcript variant X24". The record is from RNAcentral. Lineage: Eukaryota; Metazoa; Mollusca; Gastropoda; Lepetellida; Haliotidae.
AACGUCGACGUGCACAAGCAAGGUCACGCAUCAUAAAUGCCGUUUAUUCUAAAACAAAGAGUGCUUUACCGAAACACAGUAUGCAUCGGAGGCAGAAAAUUUAUUCAAGCUCUGAAGUCCCAAACAACUGAAAAUGCUCCAAAACACCAUCACGUGACCCUGGUAUUCUCAAAGUGCUGGUGAAAGUGUUUGUUUUGUAGGCCUAAAUGUUUGUUGAUAGUAGAGAGGCGGAUUGAUAGACUUUAUAACAAGUCAUGAUCAACAUUCCCCAACUGUUAGUUAAUUACACUGUAGCAGACACUACAUCUGCCUAUGAGCAAUGGACAGAACUGAGAAUACCUUAUCAUGAACCGUAGUGAACACUGCUGGCAACAUCCUGUUUUAUUGGCACACAACAGCAUCCCUCCUGAUCAAGUGAAAAGGAAUCCUAUGACACCGCUUGAUCUUUGUCUGACAUGGAAAUCUGCAAAUCAAAAAAGGUGGAAGAAUAACAUCUGGUUAAAAAAUUUAUGUGGAAAAAUAUCUGCUUUAAAGUGAUGUCAUGAACUGGACGCUGCACUCUUGAUUCCAACACUAAUAUUGUCAUGACCAAAUGUUAAAGUUCAUAUUCAGCAAGUUGAAGAUAACUGACACCAUCUUUAAGUAUAAGUUGCACAAAUAUGGUAUUCAGAAGUUUUUUGUUUUCACUACUGAUGUAUAUGUAGUAUAAAAAAAUCGAUUUCUGUAAUAGAAUAAAGUAUUGGAAUACA